This 497-nucleotide ribosomal RNA is filed under the name uncultured bacterium. RNAcentral describes it as "partial 16S ribosomal RNA". It matches the Rfam family "Bacterial small subunit ribosomal RNA", at positions 28 to 507 of the family's 1533-position model. The record is from RNAcentral.
GAUGAACGCUGGCGGCGUGCCUAAUACAUGCAAGUCGAGCGAACAGACGAGGAGCUUGCUCCUCUGACGUUAGCGGCGGACGGGUGAGUAACACGUGGAUAACCUACCUAUAAGACUGGGAUAACUUCGGGAAACCGGAGCUAAUACCGGAUAAUAUAUUGAACCGCAUGGUUCAAUAGUGAAAGACGGUUUUGCUGUCACUUAUAGAUGGAUCCGCGCCGCAUUAGCUAGUUGGUAAGGUAACGGCUUACCAAGGCAACGAUGCGUAGCCGACCUGAGAGGGUGAUCGGCCACACUGGAACUGAGACACGGUCCAGACUCCUACGGGAGGCAGCAGUAGGGAAUCUUCUGCAAUGGGCGAAAGCCUGACGGAGCAACGCCGCGUGAGUGAUGAAGGCCUUCGGAUCGUAAAACUCUGUUAUUAGGGAAGAACAAAUGUGUAAGUAACUAUGCACGUCUUGACGGUACCUAAUCAGAAAGCCACGGCUAACUACGUG